CACUAGCAAUGAAUAUCAACAAACAUGCACACGCGGCUACGCUGGCUCUGAUCUCAAAAACGCAUCUUGCGACUGCGUGAUUGAAAGACCGCUCGUGCCUGUCAACGCAGGCCUAAAAUAAUUCUACUGUGAUGCGCUCUGCAGAGAUUGGGAGGCCAGUGCACAACACACCGCAUCCAGAGGUUUCCAAGUGGCAGUUAAGAAGCAGAAGUGGUGAGCCCAGCUGAACUCAAUGGAGUGUGAAUGGCCCAGUUCUCCCUCAGCUGAGUGGGACAAUUAGCUCGUAUGCUAAUAGGUGGACCUUUCCAAAACGUUUCCAGCAGGAAAAGCACUUCUUAUUUCAUCCUGUUUUAUUGCCUACAUACUGUACAUGAGCCAUACUCAACAAGUGGACCACGGACCGGAUCUGGACCCAGAACGGGGUCAAUACAGGCCCCCGGUCACAAAAAUAAUAAAUGUUAUACAGUAUUUGAUUUGUAAUAGUAGAAGCCACAAGGGGCAAUGUCAAAAUUUGGUAGGGCAUGAGUAGUUUUCCACUUGUCAUGUCAUUCACUGACAGACCUUAGAGAGAUAUUUAUAACCUGUCAGAAAUGUCCUGUUGAUAAACUAGCCCAUGUUAGCUAGCUGGUUAGACUAAUUUACCUAGCUAUCUAAAUCUUGUAGUUAUCAGACCAGAUUACAUGCCCAGGGGGCUUUACCCCAUGGGGGCACCCAUUGAUUUUUGUGGAGUCACUCAGGUAUAUGAACACACAUAAGAAAUUGCAUAAUGUGUGGAAUUACAGGAAAUUAGCUUAUAAAAUGGCACAUUUUCUCUGCCCCAAGACAAAUGUGUAGAAUUGCAGGAAAUGAGCUUUUAAAACUGCAAAAUGCUAUCUCCGCCUACAAGAGGGGUGUUAACAGUUUCGGGAUACAUGCAUUGUGAGAUGACUGUUUGUUACUACGCCGAUAAAUGACAAUAUCCAUCUGGACCUUUUGCCACCUAGGGAAUGUGUGACUGGACCUUCUUAAAUAACA
This is a non-coding RNA of Salmo salar (Atlantic salmon), 1014 nucleotides long. NCBI's taxonomy places the organism in Eukaryota, Metazoa, Chordata, Actinopteri, Salmoniformes, Salmonidae. The record is from RefSeq and is a predicted model, not a curated record.